RNAcentral lists this ribosomal RNA (206 nucleotides) under Arabidopsis thaliana (thale cress). Lineage: Eukaryota; Viridiplantae; Streptophyta; Magnoliopsida; Brassicales; Brassicaceae. The record is from RNAcentral.
AUGGGUAUCCUACAUAGCGGUGGCCACGGCGAUGGUCAUCAAGUCUUCAAAAAAGAAUAUAUACGAUUGCAUUGCAUAUACUAACGGAUGCGAUCAUACCAGCACUAAUGCACCGGAUCCCAUCAGAACUCCGCAGUUAAGCGUGCUUGGGCGAGAGUAGUACUAGGAUGGGUGACCUCCCGGGAAGUCCUCGUGUUGCAUCCCUC